UUUAUAGUCUUUUUUUUCAUAUAUAUCCAUCCCAUAAGGGAGAAAUAGUUGUGUAGGCUACAAACAUAAUAGCAAACACAUUCAUUGAACCUCCUCAUUUAUAUACUGUGAACACAAGACUGUUAGACUAGAACCAACUGCUGCUAAAUAGUAACAAGUACAUUCCAGAAACUUCUUUCUCCUCAACUUUCACCUUCAAACUUUUCCCUUGGAGUUUCUUUUUGGUAGUACUCAACAGUGAACUAAGUAACAAGGUAGUCUGGGAAGUGUAGUUGCUAAGUCCUAGCUCCAGCAUCAUAGAACAGGACACAGAAAGGUAGGGAAGGGUCUGAGAAACAGUAGCCAUAUAACUGGCACAAUUCCAAUUAAUCUUUGGCACUGAUAUAAUGAUAGCAUUAUAUCAUUAUAUAUGACUGUGACUCAGUGACAGUCACCAGUGGAAGCUGUUGGGUUCUAGAGAAAAGAGGAAUAGACUGCUGUCUGAUAGAGCAGUGGUCCUGCUUUCUUGCUUAGCAGGGGUUAACAGUGAAGACAGACAUGUCCAUUAUUAGGAGACACUUUCUGUGAGGUCCCACAAAUUAUUGACAGGAAAGCCUUUUGGGGAUGGAGUACUUAAAGCACAGGGAGUCAAAAGAUGACAAAAUUUGGUUGAAUUUAUCUGUAUUUAUAGACUGGGAAUUUAGAAUUACCAGUGUUUUUCUUAAAUUUAAAAACAAACUCACCAGACUGGUCUCUGAACAUAUUUGAUUAAAAUUAUCAUUAUUAUUUUUGGAAACAUAUUGGUUUGGUCUUGUAGUUCUAGUAACAAUAUUCCAGUUCUUCUUUGGAGAACCACUGCUCUUUUCUGGAAGAACAUGAACAUUUUGGUUACUUAUUCACACACUUUCCCCUUCCCCUGCCCAGGCAACAACUUGACCGCAAUAAUUAGUUCAUGUUCACAUGUGGAUGGUUAGAAUUAGAUCCCAAUUCUAAUUCCAAUUCUAGAUCUGGGUCAAUCAGAAAAAUAUGUUCUUUCUCCAUUGGGGUUGGUAGGUGAAUACAAGGUAAGUUUGGAACUAUGGUGGCCAUAUCUGAAAGGACAAGUCUUCCUGAAAUCAAACCAUCUCAUAGACAGGUAUAUAUCCAAGAGGUCUUGGAUUGUGACUCAGCGGCAGAGA
RNAcentral lists this long non-coding RNA (1157 nucleotides) under Marmota monax (woodchuck). The record is from RNAcentral. Lineage: Eukaryota; Metazoa; Chordata; Mammalia; Rodentia; Sciuridae.